This is a long non-coding RNA of Ailuropoda melanoleuca (giant panda), 4225 nucleotides long. RefSeq lists it as uncharacterized. The record is from RefSeq and is a predicted model, not a curated record. NCBI's taxonomy places the organism in Eukaryota, Metazoa, Chordata, Mammalia, Carnivora, Ursidae. The transcript is spliced from 2 exons.
GCCCCUUCAUUGCAGUUGCCAUCGCCAACACCUGGAGGCACUGCCCUCCUCAGUUCAUAGGCCCCUUCUCCCACCCAAAGGGACCAGCCCACUGGCUCUCCUGGGUGAGUCUAAGGGUUUUCUUUUGGAAAUGGUUGGAAACGCAGGGGAGGGUGGCAUGUCAGGACCUCUCGGGCACGCCGUGGGUCCUUGUCUGAGCGCGGGAGAUCUGCUGUUGGAAGAGCAAGAGCCCAGCUCGGAUGGGCAGGCAGGGCACUGUGGAGGAAGAGCUCCUCUGUGAAGGCAAAGCCGGAGGCUGACUAUGCACAUAAAAUAGAGUCACCCCUCAGCGACUUGGUAGCUUAUCCACAGUGACAUUUCAGAUCUCAGGCUCCCCUUCCACACUCCCUGAAGAAAGACACAAAGCUGAGAGUGAAAGUCUGCUCUGUGUAGAAGCCUGGCAGAUUGAAACCUCUGCAGAUAAGCCAGGUGCAGAGGCUUCGGGAGCAGGGGCUGGGGAGCAAGCUCAGAGGUAACCAUGAAGAGGGGGUAGGGCUGGGAACCUCCAAAUCCCCGGGUUAGGGCAGAGGACCGUGAAGUGGUGAGGAGAGCAGAAGAUAACUCAAAGUAGAAAAAUGUGAUGAUACCUGACAGAGGAGGGGACUCAGCCCCAGCCACCCAGGGCUCCACCAGUAAAGAAGGCAGGUAAGGGCCUGCGAGAUGGGGCGGUCUAGAAAGAUGUACAUGCAGGGGUGUAGGGAACAGAGGAGGACGAGGUAGAGUAGGAGAGGUCAGCGGAGCAGAAGUGACAGCGGAGACUGGAGACCCAGGCCCGUAGUACUCCUGUCCCUGGUGGACCCCCCCUGCACGGCGCCCAGUAGUCUUCCUUCUGGCCCUUUCAUGGGUCAGCACUGUGGAGCCUUCUAAAGGCUUCACGUGCCCGGGAGCAGCAUCACUUUGGCCACAUGGGCCAUCUUGGGAGCACAGCAAAGGGUGUGAGGUGACCGUGAAAUGAAAUCAGCAAUGCUGAGGUGUAUUCAUAGAAUGCCAGUAACACUGAUGCAGUUUACUCUCAGUCUCAACACUGAGGGUGUUCGUUUUCUGGAGGUUCUAAGGAAAGAGGGUUGAGGCAGAGCAGAAGAGGAGAGGACCGUAACAUCACACAGGGGGUGCUCUUGCGGUGAGGACACCCUUCUCUGGGGAGGGUGGCCAAGGAGGACCAGAGGGGCGGGAGGACCGAGUCGCUGUCAGUGCUACUUCGGCAGCACGGUGCCCUGCGGAUGGACCCCUCGGAUACAAGUCACCGUUCAGGGUGACCCUGACAGGCUGCCCCUGCUGGUCCGCAGGCCACAGAAGGCUGGGGGGUGCGGAGAGCGUGGCCCCCCGGGGGAGAGAGAACGGGGUGAUACGAGACAGAGAGCGUGCUCCCUGAUCUGCCUGCCGGCCACGGUGGUUUGAGGAGCUGUUUUAUUUUUUCCUAGCCCUCUUGCCAAACUGCCCACGCCCCUCCUCCUCUUCCCGACGCAUGAUGGAUGCCCUUAGUGGCCCUGUGUGAGGUUCUGCUACUGUUCACAGUGUACCAUGUGUCUGCAUAAACAACCGUGUGUGCGUGUGUGUGCGUGUGUGUGUGUGUGUUGAUGUGCCCAUGUCGUUCGUCUGCCGGCUUCCUCCAUCCUUUGAGUUCUUUUCAGUUCUCUUAUGAUUUGACUGCUGUUCUCUCAUCAGAGCUUUUAGAUUGAUGCUGUGGUCUGGUGCUGUAUAAAUAUUUUUCCUUUUGAUUUUGUUUUAACUUUUCCUUGCCCUUCUUCACCCUCCACCCAACUGUCCCUGCCCUCCCACAGUCCCCGACCCCACCCGACCUGCCCCUGCCUCUUCCCUCCCCCUUGCCCACACUCUCUUGUCCUCUCUUUCUUUCUUUCUCUCUCUCUCUCUCUACAUAUAUAAAUAUAUAUAAAAAUCUUUUCUUCUUUUGUCAUUCAAUCAAAUUCCAACAACCCAACCAGGGCCAGUCAAAUCUACCACAGUCUCGCGCUGAGCUAGGAAUAAAGUUCACGUAAUCACAUGAGAGUGGAGAAAACAGUCCCCCAUCCGGCAGGAUGCUGAACGGGCUACAUUAAAAAACAAACCUCUCUCUAUAUAUAUUUAUAAAUGAGAACUGUUGGAUGACACCUUUGACAUAUCAGCCAAUAUCAAUCAAGCUGAAGACUCCAGACACUCUCUGUGACUGUAACAUUUCUUCAAGGAAAGUAUAGCGUCUGUGGAGUUCAGAGGGCAUGUGUUUGGGGGAAAAUAUAUAUGACACAAAGAAGAAGAUGAAGAAAAAUGAGAAAAAAAACACAAAAAAGGCAACUUUAAAACAAAAUAACUUGAGACCAGAUGGGGAGGCUGAAGGGCUGGGAAGUGGGAAGAGACGCUGCUUACCGAUCCCCGGGGCUUUUCCAGCCCGUGGGCGCCUGAGGCAGGCUGGGGCAAGCGGUGUGGCGGGGCCUGGUCCCCAGGGGGCGGCUGGGAGGCCGCCACUGAGCAUCUCUAUCUGUCAUUCCUUUAGCUACUUAGGGACCAAAGGACCAAACUUUUUAUUGCAGCUGUGUAGCUCUAUGUCAAAUAGAGGGGGUUGGAGGAGAGCCUCCUUCCUGCCUCAUGGCUGUUCUUGAAACAGCUUAGAGCGAUUCUAUGAAAAAUGUAAUAAAAAAAAAAUUAAAAAAAAAAACAAAAAAGCAAAAACAAAAAAAAAAAAGGAAAAUAAUGCUUCAAUGCUUUUAAAACAGCAAGAUAAUAGUUCUUUGAUACUUUGAGAGGCGCUUUGAUUACCCUCAUUCAAGUCUAUGACACUUUCCUAUGGUUUUCUGUAUUAUAUGUCUGGAUGGAGCUGUUAAGAUGAACAAAUUGGUGGAUAUUUGGGGAAAGCAACAAAAAUAUUAAAACUCUUUAACUGUGAAGUGUGAGAAAACAAGGAGGGGAAAAAAGGGACUUACAAGGCAAGAUAAUUGUUGUGAAAAGUCUGUAAAUGCUUCUAACUCUUCCCCCUCUUAAAAUCAUAAUAGUUGUACAGAAUUUUAAAAAGGAGAAGUUUAAAAUACCUAUAUAAUAGAAGAAAAAUUAGAGGAAAGCAAAAAAUAAAAAAAUAAAAAAGGAAAAAAAAAACCUAUAGAAGUUAGCGUUACUGCUAAAAUCCCAGAUGUUGUAGGACUGUACUUUUGUAGAGUUUAGACUGAGCAUCGAUCCCUUCUCCCCGCGAGUGCUGUCGGACGCCGUGCACCCCGAGGGCCAGGCCGGACUCGCCCAGACCUGCGGGCUCCCGGCCGCUCACCCCGCCGGUGGGGGCCGCGCCGUCGCUGGAAGGCCCGCCGCCCGCCCUCGCCUGCUUCGCUCGGGAGCUGCGCGCGCUCGCCCGCUCUCCGCAAGCUCUCGACACCUGCCGCUUCACUCGCCUUCCAUGCUUGCUCCAGAGACUUUCCGGGCAAGGGAGACCUGGGAAAUUCAUCUUAAAACAACUAAACAACACACACACACACAAAAACCUUAAACAAGAGAGAGAAAAAUAAACAAUCUUUGAAGAAUUUCUGAAACUGUUUACAAGGAAUUUUGAAAAACAGGGAUGUUUAAAUGAUGCCGGCUCUGUUUUUCUGUAAAUAAAUUUGCAUAUUUUGUAGGACUUUUAAUUGUAAUGAUAGAGAAAAAAAACAAGGAAAACUAUUUAAUGAAAGCACGAUAUUUAUCUUUGGUAAAUGACUUUAGAGCAGUUAAAAAGACAUUGCUUAAAAAAACUCAGAAUCAGAAAAAAACACUGAAUUAUUUAAGAACACAUAUAUUUUAAAGUAUAACAUAUUUAUUAUAAUUUAUUUGCACCGUUGGGAAGACUUGCUUUGGCAUUCUGCCUUGAUAUCCUCCUCUCAUUGAUGUCCAGGUCAUCUGGAGGCCAGGGGGCUCUCGGACCUAUCAUCCCUCCCCCCUUUUUUUUUGCUUUAGAACAACUGUCUGGUUCCUCUUAGGCCUCCUGCCUUUCCUUUCUUUCUUUCUAUUCUGUUGGUUAAUUAUCAUUUUUAAAAUUUUCUUUUUCUUUCUCUUGGCUCCUCCUUUUAGGAUGUCCAGAUGUAAAAAAAAAAAAAAAAAAAAAAACAGCUGCAGUUCAGUACAACUGCUCUUUUCACACUCAACUCCCUAAAACUCCUUGUAACCUUCUGUAACUAUUGGAUGACGCUUUCUCCAGCUUAGCCCUAAAUAAAGCACAGUUUAAAACAAAAAA